CAGAGGGGGCAAGCGUUAUUCGGAAUUAUUGGGCGUAAAGGGCGCGUAGGCGGCCAUUCAAGUGACGGGUGAAAGCCCUCGGCUUAACCGAGGAACUGCCUGUCAGACUGGAUGGCUUGAGACCGGGAGAGGUGAGUGGAAUUCCCAGUGUAGCGGUGAAAUGCGUAGAUAUUGGGAGGAACACCAGUGGCGAAGGCGGCUCACUGGACCGGAACUGACGCUGAGGCGCGAAAGCGUGGGGAGCAAACAGGAUUAGAUACCCUGGUAGUCCACGCCGUAAACGAUGAGUGCUUGGUGUAGCGGGUAUCGACCCCUGCUGUGCCGAAGUCAACACAUUAAGCACUCCGCCUGGGGAGUACGGUCGCAAGACUG
Molecule: ribosomal RNA, 372 nt
Filed under: uncultured organism
Description: bacterial SSU rRNA
Rfam family: Bacterial small subunit ribosomal RNA
Source: RNAcentral